This 245-nucleotide ribosomal RNA is filed under the name uncultured bacterium. RNAcentral describes it as "partial 16S ribosomal RNA". It matches the Rfam family "Bacterial small subunit ribosomal RNA", at positions 524 to 768 of the family's 1533-position model. The record is from RNAcentral.
UACGGGGGGUGCAAGCGUUGUUCGGAAUCAUUGGGCGUAAAGAGCGUGUAGGCGGCUCGAUAAGUCAGAUGUGAAAGCCCUGGGCUUAACCCAGGAAGUGCAUUUGAAACUAUCGUGCUUGAGUAAGGGAGAGGAAAGUGGAAUUCCUGGUGUAGAGGUGAAGUUCGUAGAUAUCAGGAGGAACACCGGUGGCGAAGGCGACUUUCUGGCCCUAUACUGACGCUGAGACGCGAAAGCGUGGGUAG